This 21-nucleotide microRNA is filed under the name Gallus gallus (chicken). Its description in RNAcentral is "gga-miR-12224-3p". Lineage: Eukaryota; Metazoa; Chordata; Aves; Galliformes; Phasianidae. The record is from miRBase by way of RNAcentral.
UGUUAGGUGUCUUCCACAGGG